Molecule: long non-coding RNA, 1290 nt
Organism: Nothoprocta perdicaria
Lineage: Eukaryota; Metazoa; Chordata; Aves; Tinamiformes; Tinamidae
Exons: 2
Source: RefSeq, a predicted model, not a curated record
GUUUUUACAGAUUGUGCUCCUGAAAUACCCAAUGAGAGCUGUAACUGUGCUGUGAUCUCAGCCAAAAUUCCUGUGCUUGUUAGAAACUACUAUGCUUUGAGUUGCAGAAAGAGCUCAUUCAGGGCCUGGUUCAAGGGAAUGCAUCAUGUUGUUCUGGCUCAUGAACAAUGUCAAAUGUUGAAUGCAGUGAUGGGACUUUCAGUAAUAAAAUGAUUUAGAAAGAAGUUCGCAAGAUCUCUCAGGCCUAAUAUUUAUAUGAUAACAUCCCAGUAAAAUUUAAUUGCAGAUUUAAACAUCUAAUUAUAAUCCUAUACGAUCUUUAUACUGAAGCAAAAGAUUUUUAACAGGAAGUAGAAAAAUUAUUUUUCAGGUUAUUCUCAAAACUAGCACUACCACAUUGUUGGAUGCUACGGUGACCAGCUGCUUGCAACUACUACCAGGGAAGGAAUUAUAAAAAGAAAAAGAAAAGUGCUGCAGAAAAGUGCAGGAAUGAAAGAUCCAGACUUGAGAAGACGUGGGAGGAAGAGGAAGAAGCAUGGCCCUCCUCGGCUUCCCCAAAGUAAAAUCCAACAAACCAACAAAUAAAACUAACCCAAUCUCACUACUAAAAUUUUCACUUAGGAUGGCUUAUUAACUUCCUGUUGGGCUCUUCUUUCAGUUUCCUCUAAACUCAUUCCAACUGUUACCUUUAGGGUACAUUAUCUACUAUUGGCAUGUGUGUUUCUUCCAUCUUCUCUUACAGAGGAAGAUGCAUGCAAUGGAAUAUUUUGUUAUCUAGAAUAUUAGUCUAUACUAGAGAAGACUGCCUGAAAAAGUAACUUCUUAGAUUGGGAAGCAGGGAGAUUAGUCUUAAAACUCACAGCAUUUGAUACUGCAGUGUCUGACAUCAUUCUCUGAAAACACUCUCUGCAACUAAAUGAACUUUAAUCUUAUCACACAUUUCAUUAGGUAAGAUAAGUGGAAUUUGUCAAUCAUAGUAUUCAUUGUAAAAGAGUUGCACUAACUGUUGAGAAUAGUUUUUUAUCAAGGUAAGUUCUCACUGACAAAAUGUGGUAGAAAGUCUGGAAAACAAACAACAAUAAAGCCACAUGCUUCUGUAGCAUCACUCACAAUUGAAAUCAAAACUAUUCUUGAAUUAUGGAAUAAAUGAAUGGAGGUUUUAUAGCUCUGUUCUAAACAUGACACUGACUGUACACUUUUCAACAUCAUUCUCCUGUUCAGACUUAGUCUGAACCAGUUGUUCACCCAUGUAUGUGAAACCUCUGCAGUGGGUUAUCUUGAUAGCAUUUG